This 468-nucleotide ribosomal RNA is filed under the name uncultured bacterium. RNAcentral describes it as "partial 16S ribosomal RNA". It matches the Rfam family "Bacterial small subunit ribosomal RNA", at positions 28 to 507 of the family's 1533-position model. The record is from RNAcentral.
GACGAACGCUGGCGGCGUGCUUAACACAUGCAAGUCGAACGGAAAGGCCCUGCUUUUGUGGGGUGCUCGAGUGGCGAACGGGUGAGUAACACGUGAGUAACCUGCCCUUGACUUUGGGAUAACUUCAGGAAACUGGGGCUAAUACCGGAUAGGAGCUCCUGCUGCAAGGUGGGGGUUGGAAAGUUUCGGCGGUUGGGGAUGGACUCGCGGCUUAUCAGCUUGUUGGUGGGGUAGUGGCUUACCAAGGCUUUGACGGGUAGCCGGCCUGAGAGGGUGACCGGCCAAAUUGGGACUGAGAUACGGCCCAGACUCCUACGGGAGGCAGCAGUGGGGAAUAGUGCACAAUGGGCGGAAGCCUGAUGCAGCAACGCCGCGUGCGGGAUGACGGCCUUCGGGUUGUAAACCGCUUUCGCCUGUGACGAAGCGUGAGUGACGGUAAUGGGUAAAGAAGCACCGGCUAACUACGUG